GUUUUAUUUAUAAAAUUGGUUUUGCAUGAUGGAUAUAAAAAUUUCAAUCAUAUUGACUUUAUUCAAGGCUUACAGGACGACAAAUCCAUUCAACAUAUAAAUGAUAUUAACAAAAAAUAGGUAUUUGGAAAUAUCUCUAUCCAAUUCGAAGGUUUAUACAUGGCGAUUCAAUUGAAAAAGGGAACACAACCUAGCAUCAAUCAUGUACACCAGUUUAGGUGAUUAGUGUAAGUAGUUAGGAAAUUUUAGUGUUGUUUUUUUUUGUCUAUGUAAACAAUUAAAUUGAAAACCAAUUUUGUAACAUUCUAUCCUUCACGUUAGGUUUUUUUCUAAAAGC
Molecule: long non-coding RNA, 337 nt
Filed under: Mytilus galloprovincialis (Mediterranean mussel)
Lineage: Eukaryota; Metazoa; Mollusca; Bivalvia; Mytilida; Mytilidae
Source: RNAcentral